GACGAACGCUGGCGGCGUGCUUAACACAUGCAAGUCGAACGGAAAGGCCCUGCUUUUGUGGGGUGCUCGAGUGGCGAACGGGUGAGUAACACGUGAGUAACCUGCCCUUGACUUUGGGAUAACUUCAGGAAACUGGGGCUAAUACCGGAUAGGAGCUCCUGCUGCAUGGUGGGGGUUGGAAAGUUUCGGCGGUUGGGAUGGACUCGCGGCUUAUCAGCUUGUUGGUGGGGUAGUGGCUUACCAAGGCUUUGACGGGUAGCCGGCCUGAGAGGGUGACCGGCCACAUUGGGACUGAGAUACGGCCCAGACUCCUACGGGAGGCAGCAGUGGGGAAUAUUGCACAAUGGGCGGAAGCCUGAUGCAGCAACGCCGCGUGCGGGAUGACGGCCUUCGGGUUGUAAACCGCUUUCGCCUGUGACGAAGCGUGAGCGACGGUAAUGGGUAAAGAAGCACCGGCUAACUACGUG
RNAcentral lists this ribosomal RNA (467 nucleotides) under uncultured bacterium. Its description in RNAcentral is "partial 16S ribosomal RNA". It matches the Rfam family "Bacterial small subunit ribosomal RNA", at positions 28 to 507 of the family's 1533-position model. The record is from RNAcentral.